CCAUAUGGGAUCCUCAAGCCCCCUGCUGAAGCAGAUGUAUGCGCAGACUCCACAUACCUCAUCCUCACCCGGAGUUCAUGGGGACAUCGAGAAAUAGGAGCCAGAAGGGAAGGGAGCCCUGUCACCUUGUGAAGCUGCCACCAUGGCAGCCCUAGAGAUAUAGCUGAGAAAGCUCCUCAUUUUUUCUUACUCAAUUUUUUUUCUCAUCUCUUUAUCUAUAGGUAAGCUUGCUUAAAAGAACUUUGGGUGGCCUGGUAACUUCAGGACGCUUCGCCAAUUACCAGAGGAAGUAAGGCUUGCCCAAAACCGAGCAAACCAGAACCAGUGGCCCCUGUCACCUUUAGAUCAUUAGCAUAUCAUUAUAAUGCUAAAGUCCCCACUCAUAGAAGAGAAUCAUAGAAGAGAAUCGUUGCCACUUUCUGCACACGUGUCGUAUGAAGAGCCUGUUCAUGAUCUGCACCUGCGUGUCUGAAGUUCCUCCCCACAUAAGCUUACAUAGCUCCUGCCCCACAUCUAACCCUGUUACAUUCCCCAGCUCCCCACCGCUCUGGAAGAAGCUGUCUUUAGAGCAAGUGCUCUCUCCUUCUCCAUGCCUGGCCGGGAAUAAAACCUGCUUUUCCUUUUCCCCAA
Long non-coding RNA from Homo sapiens (human), 630 nucleotides. NCBI's taxonomy places the organism in Eukaryota, Metazoa, Chordata, Mammalia, Primates, Hominidae. The record is from Ensembl.